AUGGUCAGAUGGGACAUUAUAUGUCGCCCCAAGGCCAAAGGGGGUCUGGGCAUUAUUAAUACGCGAGUGAUGAAUACUUGUCUUAUGAUCAAAUGGUGGUGGAAGAUCAUGACUCUUGAGGAACUGCCACCCUGGCUCUCUAUCCUAAAAGCUAAAUAUUUCCCCUCCUCGAGUCCUAUGUUCGCGCCGGCUGCGGGUGGGUCGCAAUUUUGGCAUCAACUGGUUAAAGUCCGGCCGAUCUUUCGGUCCCUUGUAAAAUUUGUAGUUAGGAAUGGUAAGUCUACGCGGUUUUGGCUUGAUUGGUGGGUCGGGGACUCCACGCUGGCUGUUGCUUUUCCGGUUCUAUUUUUAUAUUGCGCUGAUACUGAGGUUUCUAUCUUUGAGCUCUCGGCUAGGGGUUGGGUUCUGGAUUUUCGUCGUUCUCUUUCUCCUGAAGAGUUGGAAGAUUGGCAGCGCCUUACUGCUUGCUUCCCCCUGCUCUCGGAGGAAGAGGAUGCCGUGGUGUGGCCCCUCUCCUCUUCGGGGCGUUUUUCGAUUAAAUCUGCUUACUCCAAGCUUAUCCCUGGGGGGCGCCCGGUCAAGUUUAAGCAUGUCUGGUCGGCUCGAAUUCCUCCUAAGAUCAAAAUAUUUCUCUGGCAAGCUGUUCGGAGUAAGCUUCCGGCGGCCGAUCAGAUUAAGAAAAGAAACGGGCCGGGGUCCGACAGGUGUGUGCUUUGUGGGGCACUGGAGAACACCGGGCAUAUUUUCUUUCACUGCUCCUUAGCUAAACUUAUGUGGAGUUGCAUCAGACUCUGGUUACAUGUAAAUUGGUCCCCUUCCUCCUUUGAAGACCUGAGGCAUUAUGUCAAUCUUCUUUUUGGCCAUUCUAAAAGAGUCUUCUUAGUUGGAUGGGCUGCGAUUGGUUAG
This 906-nucleotide ribosomal RNA is filed under the name Triticum aestivum (bread wheat). RNAcentral describes it as "partial small subunit ribosomal RNA". The record is from RNAcentral. Lineage: Eukaryota; Viridiplantae; Streptophyta; Magnoliopsida; Poales; Poaceae.